RNAcentral lists this unclassified non-coding RNA (336 nucleotides) under fungal sp. RNAcentral's name for it is "partial internal transcribed spacer region". The stretch from base 1 to 46 matches the Rfam family "Eukaryotic small subunit ribosomal RNA", at positions 1786 to 1831 of the family's 1831-position model. The record is from RNAcentral. Lineage: Eukaryota; Fungi.
AAGUCGUAACAAGGUCUCCGUAGGUGAACCUGCGGAGGGAUCAUUAACACGCGAACAAAGCGUUUCUUACCAAACUCAUGGAAACAAAGUUGGACAAUUGUCAGCAAUGAGAAUCGAAAACUAGUUCUCUCCCCAUACAUAUAUAUAGUCAUAUAUAUAUAUGAAUGGGCUAUUUUUAUAAUUCUUAUAAAAACCCUUUUCCAACUGUAGAUUAAUAUUUCGAUAUUAAUUUAUUAUUAUUGACGAAUAUUGUUCUUUACUACUAUUUAUUUAGUAUGAAAGAACGAACUUAAGAUAAUCUAAGCACAACUCUUAGCAACGGAUAUCUUGGUUCUC